CCUACGGGAGGCAGCAGUGGGGAAUAUUGGACAAUGGGGGGAACCCUGAUCCAGCGACGCCGCGUGAGUGAAGAAGUAUUUCGGUAUGUAAAGCUCUAUCAGCAGGGAAGAAAAUGACGGUACCUGACUAAGAAGCCCCGGCUAACUACGUGCCAGCAGCCGCGGUAAUACGUAGGGGGCAAGCGUUAUCCGGAUUUACUGGGUGUAAAGGGAGCGUAGACGGUGCAGCAAGUCAGAUGUGAAAGGUCGGGGCUCAACCCCGGGACUGCAUUGGAAACUGGUGAGCUGGAGUACAGGAGAGGUAAGCGGAAUGCCUGGUGUAGCGGUGAAAUGCGUAGAUAUUAUGAGGAACACCAGUGGCGAAGGCGGCUUACUGGACUGUAACUGACGUUGAGGCUCGAAAGCGUGGGGAGCAAACAGGAUUAGAUACCCUUGUAGUC
RNAcentral lists this ribosomal RNA (440 nucleotides) under uncultured bacterium. RNAcentral's name for it is "partial 16S ribosomal RNA". It matches the Rfam family "Bacterial small subunit ribosomal RNA", at positions 338 to 795 of the family's 1533-position model. The record is from RNAcentral.